Nematostella vectensis (starlet sea anemone) is the source of this 3874-nucleotide long non-coding RNA. RefSeq lists it as uncharacterized. The record is from RefSeq and is a predicted model, not a curated record. Lineage: Eukaryota; Metazoa; Cnidaria; Anthozoa; Actiniaria; Edwardsiidae. The transcript has 3 exons.
AACAUACCCUAAUACGGGGGAUUCGUGGGAAUGCGGAUGUGUAUUUUUGCCCCUCUCAAAAACACACAAAAACUGACUGCAGAAAAGCCAAGAAUUGUCGAAAAAGAAGUGCUUUAAAAAAUAAUUCGUGGGAAUGCUAACCACGGAUAUGAACUUGUCUAAUUAUGUGCAAAAGACUGUGUAAAAGCAUGGUUGAAAGUUUUGAAGAGUCAAGUCUUGUGCUCGAGUCAAGGUCAGCUGAAAUGUCAAAGUAAGCCACAAGACGAAGAAAGAAAAAACAAGCUAAUUUUAUGGACACCUUCUCCGACAAGUGCUCCUAUGUGUUUGUCUUUGCACUGGCAGACGUAGGUUAAUCUCAGCCAGAGAUUCUGAAAUCAAGCUGAGACAAGCUGCUGGCUAAGAGGCAUGACCCAGGGCAGGAUGUACAUAUAAGGCAUUGGUAUUUAAUGUAGGUCACCAAAAAGUAAACACAUAUAAAGUAACAAAAAGUAAGAUAAUAUUUUAAUGGAAAAAUUGUUCUAAAAAAAUGAACCAGAGUUAUAAAAGCAAAAAACCUAGUUUUUUUUCCAAGUUAGCCUGACAGGUUCUUGUAUAAUGUGUGGUUAGUGACAUUUAGACUAUUAUAAAUAGUCUCUUGCUAUUACAAUGACUCAUGGUAAAGUAAUUGAGGUAGUAAGUUAAUCAUACAAAAACAAAAACAGGUCUCCUAUAUGAUCCCUUAAGAUCAUAUCUAAAACUAUUUAGAAUCAAUUUUCCUAUUUCAACCUAUUUCAAAUAAAGGCUAAAUAGAUGCUUUAUAAAAAGGAUUCUAAUUUGAUAAUUUUAGGUUAACAGGUUUAUUCUAACUUCUUAUAUGUGGUUUUUAACUGUAUAAUAAAAUGAUGUAAAAUAAUAUUUAAAAAUAUGUUGGAGUGCUUUUAAUCCACCCUUAGCAAAGUUACAUUCUAAAGCACAAUAGAGAAGGUUAAUAAAGAUAUUUUUCCAAUAUUCGAAUUGCUUACUUUAAAACUAACACAAGAAUAAGAUAAUGAUAAAGCCCUUAUAUCUGUGAAAGUUAAGUAAUUUAAAGAAGUAAAAGGAAUUGGGACAGUACAGGCAGGGAAUGACCCGUGCGAGAUGGAUUCCUAGGUUUUUAGGAAUUCCUACAAUCUUUUACAAAACUAAUGGGACACUUUCCCAAAUGAUCACCUUGCUACUGCUUGUGUUUUGAGCUGAAAAAUCGCCUCUAACUAAAUACUCCGAGGGAUGGCUGCUUUUGCAAAUGGAGACAAUCGACACGAUAUAUGGACAGUCUCUUUGACAAUAUCAAAUAAAUAUUAUAGUUUACAAAAUUAUAGUCUGCAAAUAUCCUAGCGCACCUUCAUUUAAUUCAAAUUAAUUGAAUAAAAUAUUCCAAAUAGCGCAUAGAUAUACCAAAAGUAUUAUCUGGGGACGUCAACAUCUUUACUUCAAGCUCGAAUAAUUGAUAGAUUGAAAAACUUUCAUUAGGGUAUGCGAAUAAAGAGAAUACAUUUUAAGAAAUUGAUAAUAAGCGUGACAAAUUCCAAUCAUUCCACUUCUGAGACAAUCUUUUACAAAAUUAAUGGGACACUUUCCCUCCCCCUUCCUCAAUGUUGGAGGGCAAAUGAUCACCUUGCUACUGCUUGUGUUUUGAGCUGAAAAAUCGCCUCUAACCAAUAUUAAUCGGGGGGAGAGGGUUGGCGGUUGUUCGUAUGGGAAGUGUCCCACUUACUUUUGUUGAGGAUUGUCUGAGCAAGUGAUUGACAGGUCCUGGAACAGGAAACACUAUCGUUGAUAACGCAACGACGAUACAACUAUGCGAACGUCAAAAUCAAACACAUACAAUUAUCGUGCCAGGAUCGCGCGUAAAACUGGACAGAGGCUUCAAAGACGACUAUUUUUCGUUGUAAACAAUCUCAUCUGUUUCUUCAUAUAAGAAAUACCGCCUAUGAAGAAUUUAUUACGUGAGAGAUUUUCACUACAAAUUUAGUCACGCAUGCUUGUCUCGGGGAGAAGGUCAAUUCAAUAAAUUCAUCUGUUUUACAAUAGUUUUGCUAAAUAUCUGACACUUUGACACACAGUUAUGCUUGAAGAGUUCAAGCAAAGUGUAUGCAAUGCUUUUUCUGUGGAGCAUUCGCUAAAAUCGACGGCUACAGACUACGUCUCCUGUUCUUGCCUAUGUGGCUCAACGAUUAACACAACGGUUAACCAUUUUAAAAUUGUUUUAAAAAUGGCUUACGAAAGAAUUUGGAACUCGAAAAUAAUACAGUAUUAACUUGAGAUUCAAGCUCAAUAAUUGACACUAGUUUUGUUUGAAUGGGGGUUUGCAUUUUGGAGAGAGAGCUCAUGGUAGACGGUUGACCGUCGUUUUACUAAGAUAAAAAGGAGGUUCAUUUAUAUAUUUUUCAGAAUUAGUACUACAUUGAAAAGAAAGAUACGAAUGGUGAUAAUUGUUUUAAAAUCUUAGAUCUGAUUUAGACAUAAUAUAUAUUGUUUCUAAUAGAAAUGCUUCUUGAGAUUAUAAGAAAAGAAGUCCCGCUUUGCAGAUAGGGACCGUAAAACGAAAAUGUACCGGGCGUCCUUUGCUUUAGUGGCCGAGAGGGACUUUGGCCCAAGGCGCAAAACCAUAACGGUCUGUACCGUUGCAGAAGUGUCCUUGUGGUGAAAGUGUCUAACCAAUCAGAUAGAACUACAUGUGUCCAAUCAUAGACCUUGUUAGAAUGCCACACGUGUGACACUGGGAUCGAGUGGGUAUGGCAGAACGGUCGUUUGUUGAUAAUAUAACUGAUUUCUGAGGAAUUGAUAAAGCAGAGAAACACUCAAAAAGCAGAGAAACACCCAAGAGAAAAGGAUUUAGCAAAAGCCAUGUUAUGUUCUCUUACUGGAGUCCGUCCUAAGACGGAGACAAGCCAUUAAGAGGCGAAUCCCAUCUCAAGCAAGCUGCAAGUUUUAAAGGCAUGAUGCUAGGGCAAGAUGUAUUCAUUAAUACAGCUAAGAUAGAUAAUAGUUCCAAAUGAAAACUUGUUAUAAAAAAAUGAACCAGGCAAAUAAAAUAAACUAAAAGAAGUCAGAAAUUUUGAAAACAAGUUAGAGUGGUUUAUUUCAUUCACCCUUUGACAAAGUGGCUGGUACUAAGCACUGACCAACAUUGGACCUUAUUGCAAAUGGACUGAAUGGGUUUUCUAGUAAAAAAAUAUAGUUUCAAUUUGAACUAAUUAACUGCACAGGGUUUUGUGAGCAUUCUUCUUUUCAAAUAGCUGAUAUGAAUACAGCUCAGUAGGAAUCUGAGAUGAUAUUUGCAAAAAUCAACAGCAAUGUACCAUUUGACCUUUCAUGCAAUUAUUUCAAAGAUAAUUUAGCACUGUACAUGUAAGUGAUGUAAAAUGAAAAUAUAGCUACCUUUUUUUAACAAACUGCAUCUUUUUGUUAUGCCACAUCAAGCCCUAUUUUAUGUUUUAAAACAAAAAUACCAGGUGUACAUACCCUUGAAACUAUGAUGCUUCAAUAUAGGGGUCUAGUGGGUCCAUGGACCUCCUUAUCGAGGGUCAGUGUUUUGUACGAUCCACCCAAGACAAGUGUCAAUUCAAAAUGUAUUAGCCAAAAAAAACAUUAAAGAAGGUUGAUAAAACCGUUUAUCCAAUAUUUGUAAUUUCUACCAAAAUACUUUUAUUACCCUUCAACUGAGAGAAAAUUAUAAAAAUCAAGAAAAUCUAGUAGUAGUGCAAUGCGAAAGGAAGAAAGGGAAUUUGGACAGUGUAGGCAAGCACAUUUACUGGCAAAAACGAUAUGCUAAUGUAUAGAAACGCGUUGUGUGCUGAUAUGGUUUUAAAUGUUAAAGAGAAUAAAAAAGCACCCAUUUUACUGUAAAAAAAAA